Long non-coding RNA from Cornus florida, 548 nucleotides. RefSeq lists it as uncharacterized. The record is from RefSeq and is a predicted model, not a curated record. The transcript is spliced from 4 exons. NCBI's taxonomy places the organism in Eukaryota, Viridiplantae, Streptophyta, Magnoliopsida, Cornales, Cornaceae.
UUUCUUUUCAAUGCACGUUGCUGUCUCGCUCCAUUGCCUCUCUGUUCCAACCAAAUCUACCUCGCAUAAUAUUUUCCCAGUUCCCGCAAAAACGAUCUUCUUUUUCACAACGCAAAGCUUGAUUUUCUCUGAUUAAUGCUAUUUAUGAGCAUGAAUACUUCAUGAAGUUAUAAUGGGACAUUACCUAGUUAUGGUACUGCUACAACAGGGUCCUAGGAGGAAUGACUCGAGACAGACAUAAUUUUAAUGCUUCACAAAGUGGCUGGUCUGAGACUCAACUGGCACAAAUGACACGAUAAUCAAUCGUUAAACCGCUGAAACAGGCAACGACUCUCAUAUUCACGAACUUAUGGCGAAGCUCAAUGAACAAGCUGCCCAACAGCCAGGAGAAAAUCCGAUGAAGAGUUAUGAAAGAUGUAGUAAAUGCAAAUGCUUACCCCAUUACAAGGGCAGAAUAAUGCAUUGGGUUUGCCAUGAGGCUAGCACUUCUCUGUCACCAUAUAUCAGGAUCCUCCCUUUCAUCAUUCCGUGUGGGUCCAUUUUUUAAG